ACGCUGGCUCCGUGCCUAAUACAUGCAAGUCGAGCGAAUCGAUGGGAGCUUGCUCCCUGAGAUUAGCGGCGGACGGGUGAGUAACACGUGGGUAACCUGCCUGUAAGACUGGGAUAACUUCGGGAAACCGGAGCUAAUACCGGAUAGGUUCUUUUCUCGCAUGAGGGAAGAUGGAAAGAUGGUUUCGGCUAUCACUUACAGAUGGACCCGCGGCGCAUUAGCUAGUUGGUGAGGUAACGGCUCACCAAGGCAACGAUGCGUAGCCGACCUGAGAGGGUGAUCGGCCACACUGGGACUGAGACACGGCCCAGACUCCUACGGGAGGCAGCAGUGGG
RNAcentral lists this small RNA (335 nucleotides) under uncultured bacterium. Its description in RNAcentral is "bacterial SSU rRNA". It matches the Rfam family "Bacterial small subunit ribosomal RNA", at positions 33 to 358 of the family's 1533-position model. The record is from RNAcentral.